Molecule: long non-coding RNA, 994 nt
Organism: Oxyura jamaicensis (ruddy duck)
Lineage: Eukaryota; Metazoa; Chordata; Aves; Anseriformes; Anatidae
Exons: 2
Source: RefSeq, a predicted model, not a curated record
UAUGUAUGAAGAUUUCCUUCUCCUCAGCCCCAUACAAAAAUGUUAACGCUGUCCAAUAUUUACAAUUUGACAGAUUAGCAGGUUCCCAGUUCUUUGGGCAAGGGACAGGAAAGCAUACAUAAUAAAACUAAAAAAGGUCCUGUGAUGCUAAGAUAUUCGUUGUAACCAUAGUUAAUACAGUUUCCAUUGUACUCCAGCAGAAAUUUAAGAACAUAAGCUCUAAAACCUGAGAGAGCAAGAAAGAUAGCAGCGAGUCAUUAGCGUUUGGACAGCCUCAGUUCUCACCUGCACAGCACAGAUGCAGUUGUCCUAUUAAAAAUCUCUGCGUAGCUGGAUGAUUCCCAAGGGAUAAAAACAAAGGUCUGGUAGAAUUAUUUCACGUCUUCAUUGAGCAAUUGCGUUGCGAUUAAUAAAAAGCCAGAUCUAGGUGCUUUUCAAAGAAUGACCUGCUUUUGAAAGAAGCAGUUACCACAUCUUCCAACUUCAGAAUAAUAAUUUUGGGGAAAAAAAAAAAAAGAAAUACAUGCCAUUUCUUGAUCAUGCCAGGUUAGCCACAGAAAGACGCUACAUCGGAAGUCUGCACAAAAUGAGAAGAAGAUGGCCUUUGCCCAAUUUCUGCAGACAGCGUGCGCUCAUCAACAAACACUUGGAAUUAAUUAUUCAGCAUUUAAGUUGUGCUACAGAAAGUAUUAAUUGGCAAGCUUAGAAUCUUUUAUCGGGGAAUAAAUGGAAGAGAAUGUCAUUUUUCAUCCAUAUACUUGGUAAAACUAUAUAAAUAAAUGUAUUUUAAGUAUAUAGCACUCUAAAAGUGAAUGGAUUGGAAAAUCUGGAUUUUUUUUCAGAUUAAAACUAUUGAAUUUAGUCAGCGUUAUUUUCCCUUCUGUUUUAGACCCACAGUAAUGGAUACUAAAGGAAAAAAAAAAUCAAACACGGGUAAUUACUUGGAGUCAUGUGGUAUAAUGCACUCAAAAAUAUUCUCUUUUACAUAAAUGGG